GCUUACGGCCACACCACCCUGAGCGCGCCCGAUCUCGUCUGAUCUCGGAAGCUAAGCAGGGUCGGGCCUGGUUAGUACUUGGAUGGGAGACCGCCUGGGAAUACCAGGUGCCGUGAAGCU
RNAcentral lists this ribosomal RNA (120 nucleotides) under Lates calcarifer (barramundi perch). The record is from RNAcentral. Lineage: Eukaryota; Metazoa; Chordata; Actinopteri; Centropomidae.